UUUUCCUCUCACGAUACGAGCUAGACGGCCACAGAGCAGACGCCAUCUUCUCUCACGACACGAGCCAGACAGCAGCAGAGCAGACCAGACCGAGAGAGUCGGUAGCUAAAGCCGAGCAAACACGACAGACACACAGAGUAGCAGAGCCGCGGAUAACGGCAGAGACGUCCGCAGGCAGACCCGGUAUUCACGCUGUGAGCCGAGGAGAAAACCCCUUUGUGGUAUUAAAAUGCAUGAACUCCGGUGAGUCAGCAGACAGUUAGCUUCCAGUUCGGUAGCCGUUCAGACGGAAAAAUAAAACGCAUUUAUUGUUCUAUUUACUUGUGUUAUUGUGGUCUAUGUUGCUUUAAAUAUGCCAUAUGAUGCCUUUCGAUGUUUUCCUGUUGUUUGUAAGCCUUUUUUACCGUAGUUUAUGGCUUGUAAAAAGAUCGCUAGCUUGAAAUGCUAACGCUAUUAGCGACCGCGACAUGCUAAUCGCUAAGUCGGGAUGCUAUUUUGUCCCUUGUUUUAUGUUUAGUCAUGCAGUCGCUAUGCUAACCGCUAAGCUAAUGUUAAGUUUCCAUGCAGUUGCAUUGAGAAGGUGCAGUUUGAUCAUUUUUAUGCCAAUUGAACUGCUUAUUUGUGUUAUUAGUCACUGUUUUUGGUGAUAUAUUUUGGAUGUUGAACUGAGAAACUGAUGAGAUCUCAUGAGAAAUAGACAGAAUCAGAUUAGGUUCUUAUCCCUAUGCACUUUCUGUGUAGGUUGGUUUUUUUUCUUUGCUAGUCUGAACUGAGAAAGAGAUGAUCAGGAUGGCGAGCCCAGCCCAGCGAGUCUGAGAUAGAGAGAGAGGGUGAAGCAGUGUGGCCAGCUGCAGAAUCCACCUACCUCGACAACUCUGGAUCUUCCGAAUCCCGCACUUUGAGAGCAGAUAAGACACAUACACACACUUUGCACCUACCCGGGUAGCAACAGUAAAAAGACACUGAAGACACAGAAAUUCAAUUGACAUUGAUACACAGAACACACACCUCGGAUCCCCUCAACGGAAAACCCCAGAAUUCUGAGCAGGAGAGCUCAGUGUCCCAUUUAAGUUUUUAUUUUUUUUCUUCUCUGGCGCCUUGUUAUUUUGAACAGUGAAAUACCAGGU
This is a non-coding RNA of Xyrichtys novacula (pearly razorfish), 1127 nucleotides long. Lineage: Eukaryota; Metazoa; Chordata; Actinopteri; Labriformes; Labridae. The record is from the annotation of a GenBank genome assembly.